Rhopalosiphum padi (bird cherry-oat aphid) is the source of this 843-nucleotide long non-coding RNA. RefSeq lists it as uncharacterized. The transcript has 4 exons. The record is from RefSeq and is a predicted model, not a curated record. Lineage: Eukaryota; Metazoa; Arthropoda; Insecta; Hemiptera; Aphididae.
GUCGGACGUAUUACGUCCUAUACUAGGUAUCUACCCUUUUAGCUGUAUUUUAUUAAUGCUCUUAAAAAAUACAAUAAUUACAUAGUUUUUCUUUAAAGGUGACAUAAAAAUGCAUAUUUAUUCUUAUAUUUUAACUUAAGUCUUUAAGUCUAAAAUAUAGAUAAUAGGAAGUUUCUAGAAUACAAACGAGUUCAGUGUUACCUAUACCAAUUAAUUGGUUACCUAUAGUUGAGACAGUAAAUCCCGAUUAUAAACUGUAAGUGAUCACGACUAUAGUUUCGAGUGAUUUUAUACAUUUGGCAAUUGAAUGGAAUGUAUUGGCCAAUAUAUAAAAUUUAGUUGGCAGAUAAUGCCAAAGGAUUUAGUAUUAACUCAAAAGAUUCAAAUCUCAAUUAUAGGUCAUUUUAAUAGAACAUGGCACCAUAAAUUUCUUUAACUGGAGACUUGUCUGCAGAUACUAGUAUACUACUGAAGUUGAUGAGCCAAAAAAUAAGAAACAGUCAAGCCAAGCUCAAGAAACUAUUAGUUUUAUUAUGGAUCAUACCUACUGAUUCAGAACCUGAAGAAGAAGGAAACUUUCCACAAGCUGUGGAUGAUAAAGCAGUGAAUCAGUAUCAGAUACUGUAAAUAGUGUAAAUGCAAAAAAUAGUAUGCAUGAAACUACUAAGCGGCAAGCAUCGGAUGACAAUUUGAAUAACAAAAUGGAUUACUACUCAAAUAAAGAUAUAAUGGACUAGCUAGACACUGUAUGCAAUGAGCAAGAUAUUCAAUGGUUAAUCAUGGAGCACUUGCUUUUGAAGAUUGAUAACAUUGCACAGGCUUUAAAACAUAAAAGUGGACUAG